AUUGAACGCUGGCGGCAUGCUUUACACAUGCAAGUCGAACGGUAACAGGCCUUCUGGUGCUGACGAUUGGCGGACGGGUGAGUAAUGCAUCGGAACGUACCCAGAGGUUGGGUUUAACGCAGCUAAAGCUGUGCUAAUACCGCAUGUGAUCUGAGGAUGAAAUCGGGGGACCGCGCAGCAAUGUUUCGCCUCGCGCCUUUGGACCGGCCGAUGUCGGAUUAGCUAGUUGGUGGGGUAAUGGCCUACCAAGGCGACGAUCCGUAGCUGGUCUGAGAGAACGAUAAGCCGCACGGGGAGUGAGACACGGACAAGGGUACUGCGGGAGGCAGCAGUGGGGAAUGGUGGACAAUGGGGGGAAGCAUGGUACAGAAAGGCGGCGUGCGGGAAGAAGGCGUUCGGGUUGGGAACAGGGUUUGGCAGGAACGAAACGGUGUCCGCUAAGACCGGGCGUGAAUGACGGUAACGGGAGAAUAAGCACCGGCUAACUACGUG
Molecule: ribosomal RNA, 492 nt
Filed under: uncultured bacterium
Lineage: Bacteria
Description: partial 16S ribosomal RNA
Rfam family: Bacterial small subunit ribosomal RNA
Source: RNAcentral